Sebastes umbrosus (honeycomb rockfish) is the source of this 777-nucleotide long non-coding RNA. RefSeq lists it as uncharacterized. The record is from RefSeq and is a predicted model, not a curated record. The transcript is spliced from 3 exons. NCBI's taxonomy places the organism in Eukaryota, Metazoa, Chordata, Actinopteri, Perciformes, Sebastidae.
AAAAAGGUGAUUCCUCUGGAUAGUGUAAUUACUGCAGUGUAUCAGUAUGUGUUCAACAGUUUCUGGCUGGUUACAGUGUGUACAUUUCCCAGUUGGGUGCUUGCCUAUUCGAUAUAAUGUUUGAUUAAGACCUGUAUGUCCGAUUCUUAGUCGAGUGAUGAUAUUUUCUUCCCUUCUUUUCCAGCCCACCUUUCUCCCUGCUCCAACAUGUUUCUGUAUAUUCUACAUAUGCCUUCCAGUUUCCUGCUCAUCCCAGUACUUCUGCCAUACUUUUUGUGCAUAGUUCUUGAUGAAUGGUUUAGCCUCAGCUUUACUUAAUGGAAUUUGUAAUUCUAUAUUCUUAAUUCUUAGUGUUUGUUUGGCCAGAAUGUCUACCUGCUCAUUUCCUUCCACACCAACAUGAGCAGGAACCCAUAUGAAUCGUGUACCUGUGCCUUUUAUUUCCAUCCUAUACAUAAUGAGAAAUAUUUCAUUAAUUAAAUCCGUUCUGACUGAUGAUCUACCAGAUCCUAUGCUUGUCUCACUCACCGGGAUAUAAACUGCUGCACCUGCACACCCUGUCUCAGGAUCUUAGGAGCCGUCUGUAAAUAAGAACACGGAGUCUGUGAAGUGCUGAUCCAAAUAAUUCUGGACUAUGCGCCAUGCUGGAAUUUUCUUUGACUUCUCCUUCAAUUCCUGCUGUAUAUUGAGGUCAACAUUUGGGGCAUUUCUCCCACUUCCACUUGCAUUGCUGAUACCGGAGAUGUUCUGAAUGAUCCACUAAUGAUUCUCAAAGCC